AGAACGAACGCUGGCGGCAUGCCUAAUACAUGCAAGUCGAACGAACACUUCGGUGUUAGUGGCGCACGGGUGCGUAACGCGUGGGAAUCUGCCCUUGGGUUCGGAAUAACAGUUGGAAACGACUGCUAAUACCGGAUGAUAUCGAAAGAUCAAAGAUUUAUCGCCAGGGAUGAGCCGCGUAGGAUUAGCUA
RNAcentral lists this ribosomal RNA (191 nucleotides) under uncultured soil bacterium. RNAcentral describes it as "partial 16S ribosomal RNA". It matches the Rfam family "Bacterial small subunit ribosomal RNA", at positions 26 to 247 of the family's 1533-position model. The record is from RNAcentral.